CCACACCCGCAGGCCGGAGUUGGGUGUUUUGGGCUUCCCUGCUCUGAGCGACUCUUCACAGUCACAGGAUUUGGAAUUCGGCAGGGGCAGUACUGCUUUCCUUCCACAGGGUUGAGAUGAUUUUUCUAGGGAUUGUUGUACCUUAAUUUACUUUGGGCCAAAUUGAUAGCUUUGAUGAUAUCAAAUGACAAUUGCAUAGUAAUGAAGGGAACCAUGGGCCGGUGGUGUGUAGAGGAGGCAUCCACGCUGCUCAAGGGUGGCACAAGACAGGAAGACGCCUUAGAAAAUGGGCAAAGACCAUGAACGCGGAACUCACAGGGUUCACCAGGUUAUGAAGAGGUGUGUAGCCCCACUAAUCCUCAGAGAAAUGCCGGGGACGAUGGCACCCACUACAGUGGCAGUGCUAGGAGGAACAGAUGGGGCCACAGCAGGAGGGCUGCUGUUAUUACAGGAAGUUCCCGGUCACAGGGCAGAGGGGGACUGGGUCCUUUCUAAGAUUCCAGUGCCCUGUGGCUUUUAGACUAGCCAUCUGAUGCUAUACCCACUGGUUUACAUAGCAUAAACCAGCAUAGUCAAACCAAAGCCCGUGGGCCAGUGGACUGUCUUUGUAAGUAAAGUUUUAUUGGAACACAGUCCUGCCUGUUUGUUUAUGAAAUGUCCCUCGGUGCUCCCAUGCCGCAGUGGCAGGCAGUGUGGGUGAUCUCAGCUGAGACUGGCCACAAAGCUUGAAAUGCCUCCUGCCUAGCCCCUUCUAGAAAACACUGGCUGAGCCCUGGUAUAAACAAUCAAUAUUUGUCUUAAGUAAGAGAAGAAAUAUAUGACAUAAAAUCCAAAUUCAUCCGUGAUUUAAACUCUUCAUGUCACUUUGGAAAAAUGCAUUUUGGAAGGAUUGUCCUGUGUGUUGCAACAAGGUCUCCGGUGAACUGAUCUUAGUGAUUCUUGCUGUUUUGAAACGCACAUGUUUCUGUUCUAGGACCCUCACUACGUCCAGCAGGCGCUGACCAACGUCUUGCUGAUGGACGCCGUCGUCGGCACACUGCAGUCACCAGGCGCCAUCUAUGCUGCCUCCAAGUUAUCCUACUUUGAUAAGACGAGUAACGAAAUGCCCAUGACGCUUCCGGAGACAACCCUGGAAACACUGAAGCAUAAAAUCAACCCCUCGGCGGGAGAGGCGUUCCCACAAGCGGUGGAUGUGCUGCUCUACACUCCGGGGCAUCUUGACCCAGCCGAGAAAGUUGAAGAUGCUCACCCCAAGUUAUGGUGUGCUCUGAGCGAGGGCAACGUGACCGUGUUCGA
This 1296-nucleotide small RNA is filed under the name Pan troglodytes (chimpanzee). Its description in RNAcentral is "processed transcript". Lineage: Eukaryota; Metazoa; Chordata; Mammalia; Primates; Hominidae. The record is from RNAcentral.